RNAcentral lists this transfer RNA (75 nucleotides) under Acidobacteriota bacterium. RNAcentral's name for it is "Acidobacteria bacterium (freshwater metagenome) tRNA-Gln". It matches the Rfam family "tRNA". Rfam says of the family: Transfer RNA (tRNA) molecules are approximately 80 nucleotides in length. The record is from RNAcentral. Lineage: Bacteria; Pseudomonadati; Acidobacteriota.
UGGGGCGUGGCCAAGCGGUAAGGCGGGGGUCUUUGGAACCCUUAUUCGAAGGUUCGAAUCCUUCCGCCCCAACCA